AAAAAUAAGUCUGAUGUGAAAGCCCUCGGCUUAACCGAGGAACUGCAUCCGGAAACUGUUUUUCUUGAGUGCAGAAGAGGAGAGUGGAACUCCAUGUGUAGCGGUGGAAUGCGUAGAUAUAUGGAAGAACACCAGUGGCGAAGGCGGCUCUCUGGUCUGCAACUGACGCUGAGGCUCGAAAGCAUGGGUAGCGAACAGGAUUAGAUACCCUGGUAGUCCAUGCCGUAAACGAUGAGUGCUAAGUGUUGGGAGGUUUCCGCCUCUCAGUGCUGCAGCUAACGCAUUAAGCACUCCGCCUGGGGAGUACGACCGCAAGGUUGAAACUCAAAGGAAUUGACGGGGGCCCGCACAAGCGGUGGAGCAUGUGGUUUAAUUCGAAGCAACGCGAAGAACCUUACCAGGUCUUGACAUCUAGUGCAAUCUGUAGAGAUACGGAGUUCCCUUCGGGGACGCUAAGACAGGUGGUGCAUGGC
RNAcentral lists this ribosomal RNA (473 nucleotides) under Lactobacillus kitasatonis. Its description in RNAcentral is "bacterial SSU rRNA". It matches the Rfam family "Bacterial small subunit ribosomal RNA", at positions 579 to 1049 of the family's 1533-position model. The record is from RNAcentral. Lineage: Bacteria; Bacillati; Bacillota; Bacilli; Lactobacillales; Lactobacillaceae.